Molecule: ribosomal RNA, 447 nt
Filed under: uncultured bacterium
Lineage: Bacteria
Description: partial 16S ribosomal RNA
Rfam family: Bacterial small subunit ribosomal RNA
Source: RNAcentral
AACGAACGCUGGCGGCAGGCUUCAUACAUGCAAGUCGAACGGCCCGCAAGGGCAGUGGCGCACGGGUGCGUAACACGUGGGAAUAUGCCCUUCAGUACGGAACAACGUCGGGAAACUGACGCUAAUACCGUAUAAUGUCUCCGGACCAAAGAUUUAUCGCUGAAGGAUUAGCCCGCGUCUGAUUAGGUAGUUGGAGAGGUAAUGGCUCACCAAGCCGACGAUCAGUAGCUGGUCUGAGAGGAUGAUCAGCCACACUGGGACUGAGACACGGCCCAGACUCCAACGGGAGGCAGCAGUAAGGAAUAUUGGACAAUGGGGGAAACCCUGAUCCAGCCAUGCCGCGUGAGUGAAGAAGGCCUUCGGGUUGUAAAGCUCUUUUACCCCUGACGAUAAUGACGGUAAGGGGAGAAAAAGCCACGGCUAACUUCGUGCCAGCCGCCGCGGUAA